Long non-coding RNA from Gavialis gangeticus (Gharial), 1709 nucleotides. RefSeq lists it as uncharacterized. The record is from RefSeq and is a predicted model, not a curated record. Lineage: Eukaryota; Metazoa; Chordata; Crocodylia; Gavialidae. The transcript is spliced from 3 exons.
UGCACUGAGCCUUCUGUGAAUUUUAAAACAUAUAACUCAGCUCUCAAGCAUUUCUUUUGUAAAUAUUGAUAAUGGUUUCAAGUUCUUUAUUAAAUAACUUUUUAAUGAGGUUGAGGACAAAGAACUAUUUUUUCACAGUCUCAUGAAGAUAAGAAUCAUAACAUAUCCUUCUGUACCAUGGAACACAUGCUUCUCAAUACCUCAUUGUGCAGUGGAGGUUUUCCCACUUUUUAAAAGUUUACUUUGACGAAAAAUGCAAUUAGAAGUAGUAAAAUUUAAAGUAGGUUCCAGUGAAAUUUCUGAAAUUGCUUGCAACUCUGACAGCCAUGCACACUGGUGUAUUAGGAUAGAAGUAUCAGAAAGCUCCCUUACAUGUUUGAUCAGAAAAGAGCCCUACAACUACCUUUUAAUAAUACACAGGCUAUGUUAUCUAAGCAAUAUUUAUUAUCUAUAUCUUCAGCAGAAUGCAUAUCUAUACACUAAGAACCAUAGACAAUAAAAUAUUAUGGAGGAGUUCACUAGGGGAUGUUUCUUGGGAGAGGUUUUUAAUCAGUUUACAGGAAUGGUCAAAGGACUGAACAGGAGUUUCCUUUUCUGUGCAGGCUGUAAACAGCUUAUGAUAGGUAGCCAAUGGGAAGUUUUUAGUGUGGCUUAGAAAAUAUUAACUUGUAGGAGUUCUGACCUCUGUCUCCAAGAUGGGGCUCAGAGGGCUAAUGUUUACUAGGAGGUAUCUGGCUCUCUAGGAAACUGCAAAAUUUCAAUGGAAGUUAUUUCCCUUUUACAGAUUUCAAUAAUGAGUCUGAAUAUGUAGCCAUACAUUAAAACAAAUAUUCUAUACAACUCAUUUUCUCUAUUAUACAUAAGUGUUUAUCUUUUGAACUGGAAAAUGUUGCCUCAGGCAUGAAAUAUUCCAGCCAGCUGCACUUUGCUGAAAUACGCUGUAGAUUCUGUAGCUUGCUUUUCCAUUCAACACUUAAAAGCAUUUGAAUAUGCUAAGCUGAAUUAAAAGCCAACUAGGAGCAUAUUAUUAGUCCCCUGGUAUCAACCAUUUUUCUCACAUAUUCCAUAGAAGCCUUUCAGUGCUAAUAAUAAUAUUUCCCUAUACUAGUUUUAUUGACAGCUUGAAACAUUAAUGAAGAUCCAUUUGAAACGUAAAUGGUCAGUCUUCCGUGCACAUUUAUUUAUAGGAUCCAUGCACUGAGUCUUUAAGCUGUGAUGGUAAAUGGAAGCCUAGAUACAUACAAGAAGCUUGAAUUUAUGUAUUCUUUAAGGGCAAGAGUGUGACUUUCUCACUGCCCUGAGCUGCGCUGCCACAGGAAGAGCCCCAGAGGCAUCCUGACAGAGACACUCUGACCUGUAGCUCCUUCAUUGCUUCUUCCCUGCUUCUAGCCAAGGACAGCACUCUGCUAGUGGCAGCAAUAUGAGGAGCCUGUCUGUAAACCAUUUAACUGCUCACAGCUGGUGGCCAUAUUGUACUCCUACUAUGAGUGAAGUUUGUGGGUGUAGCAUCCAGGAUACCUCAGUGCCCUGGACCAAAAGAUCUUCCCUACCACAUAUUCCUCGUGGAUGUUUAGCUGCCACUGGCAAAAAGCCAAAUAGAGACAAAAAGAGCCAAAUAAGCAGACAAAACUAUAAUAUUGAUAUUAGGCCAGCAUUAAGUAAGCUAGGAACUGUAAAAAACCUUAUAUUGUUAUUGCAAAAAUAAAUAA